CCCUAGAGGGGGACAACAGUUGGAAACGACUGCUAAUACCGCAUACGAUCUAAUCUCGGCAUCGAGGAUGGAUGAAAGGUGGCCUCUAUUUAUAAGCUAUCACUGAAGGAGGGGGAUUGCGUCUGAUUAGCUAGUUGGAGGGGUAACGGCCCACCAAGGCGAUGAUCAGUAGCCGGUCUGAGAGGAUGAACGGCCACAUUGGGACUGAGACACGGCCCAG
Molecule: ribosomal RNA, 220 nt
Filed under: uncultured bacterium
Lineage: Bacteria
Description: partial 16S ribosomal RNA
Rfam family: Bacterial small subunit ribosomal RNA
Source: RNAcentral